RNAcentral lists this ribosomal RNA (253 nucleotides) under uncultured bacterium. RNAcentral describes it as "partial 16S ribosomal RNA". It matches the Rfam family "Bacterial small subunit ribosomal RNA", at positions 524 to 776 of the family's 1533-position model. The record is from RNAcentral.
UACAGAGGGGGCAAGCGUUGUUCGGAAUUACUGGGCGUAAAGGGCGCGUAGGCGGCCUGCUAAGUCGAACGUGAAAUCCCCGAGCUCAACUCGGGAACUGCGUCCGAUACUGGCAGGCUUGAAUCCGGGAGAGGGAUGCGGAAUUCCAGGUGUAGCGGUGAAAUGCGUAGAUAUCGGGAGGAACAUCAGUGGCGAAGGCGGGUCUCUGGACAGUUCCUGACGCUGAGGCACGAAGGCCAGGGGAGCAAACGGG